GGGGGUUCUUUGCAAUAGGUGCUGAGGUAUUGGCAGUGAUGGGGGCUCUAAGCUGAAAGAAUGAAAGAACUUUCCCUAGAGGAACAGGUCACCGAAAACUGCUCACAACCUCCACUACCCUCCAGCAAAGCCUUUAGCCACCUAAGUGUGAGAUCUGGAAAUGGGUAUUAGUUCCUCUACAAGGGCCCUGCUCCACCUCCGUGCAGAAACACCAACAGUGUUUACCUUCUGAUAACUGGCCUCGAGAUGGAGGAAAAGGCAGUGUCUUCCUUGGUUCAUUUAUCCGUCCAUUCAAUGACUGUUUACUGAAUACCUACCAGGUACCCAACGCUGUACUAGGUGCUGGGGACAGACACAAAGGCAGCCGAUCUGGGACAGCUGUAUUCAGGACCAGCUUUGCUUGCUGGUAGCAAGUGCCUGUGUCAAACGUGAAAGGACAAUUAGAUACAACAGAGGAGACUAAGAAAAUCCACUGGGUUUCAUCUGGAGUCACCAGCUUGUUUAUGAGGCUGUACUAACAGCUGACAUGUAAGAACAAACCUUCUUGCUUGAACAGUCUCAUACAUGCAGAUUCUUUCUCCAGUGGACAUCUCUGCUCAGAAUUUGUUGUAAUCUCUUGACCUUUUCGAACUGAGGAAUGUAUUUUGUUUUGGUGAA
Molecule: long non-coding RNA, 657 nt
Organism: Herpailurus yagouaroundi (jaguarundi)
Lineage: Eukaryota; Metazoa; Chordata; Mammalia; Carnivora; Felidae
Exons: 3
Source: RefSeq, a predicted model, not a curated record